GCGCAGCAGGCGCGAAACCUCCGCAAUGCGGGAAACCGCGACGGGGGACCCCGACGUGCCGUGGCAACGCCACGGCUUUUCCGGAGUGUAAAAAGCUCCGGGAAUAAGGGCUGGGCAAGGCCGGUGGCAGCCGCCGCGGUAAUACCGGCGGCCCGAGUGGUGGCCGCUAUUAUUGGGCCUAAAGCGUCCGUAGCCGGGCCCGUAAGUCCCUGGCGGAAAUCCCACGGCUCAACCGUGGGGCUUGCUGGGGAUACUGCGGGGUCUUGGGACCGGGAGAGGCGGGGGGUACCCC
This 292-nucleotide ribosomal RNA is filed under the name uncultured microorganism. RNAcentral describes it as "partial 16S ribosomal RNA". It matches the Rfam family "Archaeal small subunit ribosomal RNA", at positions 330 to 621 of the family's 1478-position model. The record is from RNAcentral.